Long non-coding RNA from Clupea harengus (Atlantic herring), 2145 nucleotides. Lineage: Eukaryota; Metazoa; Chordata; Actinopteri; Clupeiformes; Clupeidae. The record is from Ensembl.
CCCCCCCCCCAUUGUUUUUUUUGGGUUCACAUAUUCAGUCCAGCCUCAUGUUUAAUGACAUUGCUCUGAAUAAUUGAUGCACUACAAAAAAAAGAAGAGGAAUAACAACUACUCUGCUCCAGUCCAUGUUUGGUUUUAAUUGUUGCUUUUCUGAGCAUUCUGAUUUUGCGCUUUUGAAAUCUAGCUAAAUUGGGAUUUGCUGAAAUUACUUAAAACCUUCCCCCAGGGUCUAAUUACAUACCAGGAGUUUUAGUCUGAGCUUCGCUCAAACAGUAAGAGGAAGUAGCAAGAGGGAGCCAAGGAGACAGUCUCCAGCAAGUUGCAGGUCAGGUAGAUGAAUCGUGACCUUUGACCCUUUACCCCACAUGGUUAACGCAGACCUUUACCCCCAUGAAAUGUAACACAGUUAAGCUGGUGACUGUGAUGUCAUCCACAUAGCAACAGAGUGUUUUGAAAGUUAUGUUUUUUUUUCCUUUACGUUUUCAAAAAGAUUUAUGUCCACACAACAACAUUUGGAGAGCUAACCUGCGUCCACAAGGAAAUGCAAAAAGGAGUGAAGACGCUGUUGCUAGCUAGGUCAAUUUAAAAAAUGUUUUGCAUAACCUGUGCUAUGGACUAAUAUUUAUUACAGUAUUUUCAGCUGUAUGGAUGGUAUUGGGGUGUUAUAUCAGUAUUUAUCAUCUAAAGUUCAUAACCUUUAGACUAUUAAAUUAAAUUAAAUUAAAUUAAAUUAAAUAAAAAUAAAUAUUGCACAUUUCAAUAUUAUAAACAUGAAACAUGGCUUGAAGAGUUUCUCUAAAUGAACAGUUACUAUAAAAUAAUUAUCACGAUGAGGCCCCACGUUAUUAGCACAAUGUACCAUCUGUUCCUCUGUAAAAACGGGAAACUAAAAGUUUGGUCACAAAAAUAGCCAUUAGCCCUCAGUUCUUGGACAGGGAUACCAGUUUGUUGACAUUUUCUGGCUUAAGCGAUGUCCUGGUGUGACUAAAAUGUCAUGACAUUUGUUUACGGAAACCUAAUUUAUGACGACUUCGAAGACACAGUUAGGCUACUGUGUGGGGUUUGUCAUGUACUGGUGUUUGCUAGGUAUUUUGUUGAGCUUUCCGUUGUUUACAAUGGCAAACUUGGUACAGCGCCAAAAUAUACACCAGUAGCUAAAAUAUUUUUUACAAAAUAUCCCGGUGUUGACUGUAUUGCAAAUUUCUUGCGGUGGCAGGACGAUAUUGCCAAAACAUUUUACCUCGGUUUUCUUUUUUCAGUCUGACGGUUAACGAUUAACGAUUUCAAUAGAUUUUUUUUUAACAUGACAUGAUUCUUUAUUAUCCUCUAGAAAUAGAGACAGAGGUGUAGUUUACAGUUCUACAGCAGUCGACAUAGACUUGUUUGUCAACAUUGGUAAAAUGUAUUAAUUAUGUCUGUUUGUUGUGCAAUCUUUGUCCUAGUGUGACUUCAUGUUAUUGAACACUAGCUAUUAAAUACACCGACAUUGCUCAACCAAGAGUAAUUCAUUGCUAUUAAUCUACGGUUUACCAGCAGCAGUAACGUGACACAACAUUGAAAACAGGCAACCUCUUUAAAAUGUCUAGUGAAGGACCCAUUCAACAACAGACCAAUGGAAUUGUUUGGUGAUUAACCUAACAGAAAGAAACAUUACUGCUGUAGCUAUAUGGUAACUCUAGCGAAGUGCUGGCUCGGGCAGUUGAGUGACUGCAGAUGAAGCUUUAAUCUCAAUUUUGCGAUUUAGGCAUUUUCUACAUCGUUCAAAAUCAAGGACUUGAAUUAAUCAAAUGAAUUAGAUAUAUCGCCCAGCCCUAGAAUGACGUAAUACCGUAGACCACUAUAACCGCCCACCCCUACUUUGAAGCCACUCAACUUCCGUUCUGUUUGAGUUUAUUCUUCUAAAACUGUGCAUGUGAAGUCCCUGGCUUUAUACUAAGAGGCAUUUCUGAGUGUACUGUAUACUAACUACGCUGAAACGCUACUAUACAGGUCAGCCCCAAAACAGAAGUCCAGCUUUUAUUUUUCCUUUCCUUUCCCUCUCUGUCUCUCUCUCUCCAUCUCUAAAAUUCCAGAGCCACUUAUAAAGGCUCCCCCCUAAAUCCCAAAGCUCCUCUCCUUUGAAAAAGCAGGCCUGCAUCCUUCUAG